This 301-nucleotide ribosomal RNA is filed under the name uncultured bacterium. RNAcentral's name for it is "partial 16S ribosomal RNA". It matches the Rfam family "Bacterial small subunit ribosomal RNA", at positions 509 to 809 of the family's 1533-position model. The record is from RNAcentral.
CAGCAGCCACGGUAAUACGAAGGGGGCUAGCGUUGUUCGGAUUAACUGGGCGUAAAGGGCGCGUAGGCGGGUUUUUAAGUCAGAGGUGAAAUCCCAAGGCUCAACCUUGGAACUGCCUUUGAUACUGGAAGUCUUGAGUCCGGGAGAGGUGAGUGGAACUGCGAGUGUAGAGGUGAAAUUCGUAGAUAUUCGCAAGAACACCAGUGGCGAAGGCGGCUCACUGGCCCGGUACUGACGCUGAGGCGCGAAAGCGUGGGGAGCAAACAGGAUUAGAUACCCGCGUAGUCCCUGUCUCUUAUAA